GACGAACGCUGGCGGCGUGCUUAACACAUGCAAGUCGAACGGUGAAGGGACCGGUUUUUGCUGGUUCUGGAUGAGUGGCGAACGGGUGAGUAACACGUGAGUAACCUGCCCCCUUCUUCUGGAUAACCGCAUGAAAGUGUGGCUAAUACGGGAUAUUCUGCGCCUGCUGCAUGGUGGGUGUGGGAAAGAUAUUGUUUCGGUGGGGGAUGGGCUCGCGGCCUAUCAGCUUGUUGGUGGGGUGAUGGCCUACCAAGGCGGUGACGGGUAGCCGGCCUGAGAGGGUGGAGGGUAACACUGGGACUGGGACACGGCCCAGACUCCUACGGGAGGCAGCAGGGGGGAAUAUUGCACAAUGGGCGCAAGCCUGAUGCAGCGACGCCGCGUGAGGGAUGGAGGCCUUCGGGUUGUAAACCUCUUUCGCCAGUGAAGCAGGCCUGUCCCUUUUGUGGGUGGGUUGACGGUAGCUGGAUAAGAAGCGCCGGCUAACUACGUG
RNAcentral lists this ribosomal RNA (493 nucleotides) under uncultured bacterium. RNAcentral's name for it is "partial 16S ribosomal RNA". It matches the Rfam family "Bacterial small subunit ribosomal RNA", at positions 28 to 507 of the family's 1533-position model. The record is from RNAcentral.